ACGACAACGCCUCGGUUACCGUGUAAUCACCUCUUCUUUCGCCCUCCAGAUCGUAUUCGGCAGACAACGCGGGCCGAAUCGUCUUUGCCGUCAGAUUCCGGAUGCGAUGAACGUUUUUUUGUAAGUCUUUGAAUGAAUCGUCCGACCAGGGAUGGCGCAGCUUACCUGUAGCAGUGAAGUGCUCCUUCAGUUCGCUCGGUGUCAGUGCUUGCCAUUCCUGAUUCUCGAGUUGAGGCUUUCUUCCAAAGUCGUGCGUUGGACGAACGAGAAGAACUGUUCUGCCUUCGACCGGGAUUGUGUAGAUCA
RNAcentral lists this unclassified non-coding RNA (306 nucleotides) under uncultured bacterium. RNAcentral describes it as "contains 16S-23S intergenic spacer region". The record is from RNAcentral.